This 679-nucleotide long non-coding RNA is filed under the name Phoenix dactylifera (date palm). RNAcentral's name for it is "long non-coding RNA (PDAC_LNC010167)". Lineage: Eukaryota; Viridiplantae; Streptophyta; Magnoliopsida; Arecales; Arecaceae. The record is from RNAcentral.
CUUCAACUUAAAUUGCAUACUAACCUAGAAUUUGGGCUACUUAGUAAUUAAAACCUUGUGUGCUUUUGAAAUUCUUAUCAGUUAUGUACUUGAAAUUAGACUUUCAUUUCAUAAAAUAAAUUUUAUUUUGGGAUUGAAGUUUGUGGGUAACUUCACUGCAAACCCUCACGAGACAACACUCCUCCACUAGGGUAACCUAGGGGUUUAAAGGCUUGUUGCACGUGCUAAGUGCAAUCGUAAUGCUCUACGAAAAUGAGUAUUUAUCUUACUAUUUUUUUUUAAUAAAUUACACUUUUGCACACUCAUUUUAUCAUUUUCGCACUGAAUUGCUAGAGACUAACAAUAAGCUAGUUAGGGGGUGUGAUGAGAGCACAAAAGUGCGACCUACAUGUUACUAAAAUUAGUGUUAUUGUUAACCGAUAAUAAUAAAUUCACUAGAUUAAUAUUAUAUUUAGAUUUAACAUAGAUUAGUAUAAAUUAUAGAUAAAAUGCACAUUGAGUACAAAUUUGACUUCAAAUCGGGUCCGAGUCGGGUUCGGGUCCGAAUCGGAUCCAUUUCUUUUGAGCCUUUGGAAAAUAAUUUUGGGCAAAUCUAAAUUUGCCAUAAGGUGCUGGGUGACCCAUGACUUGAAAGAAUUGCACUUGACCUCCAGCCAGAAUAGAUGACCCAAAAUUUCAU